RNAcentral lists this small nuclear RNA (132 nucleotides) under Pelecanus crispus (Dalmatian pelican). RNAcentral describes it as "U1 spliceosomal RNA". It matches the Rfam family "U1 spliceosomal RNA", at positions 21 to 160 of the family's 166-position model. From Rfam's summary of the family: U1 is a small nuclear RNA (snRNA) component of the spliceosome (involved in pre-mRNA splicing). Its 5' end forms complementary base pairs with the 5' splice junction, thus defining the 5' donor site of an intron. There are significant differences in sequence and secondary structure between metazoan and yeast U1 snRNAs, the latter being much longer (568 nucleotides as compared to 164 nucleotides in human). The record is from Rfam by way of RNAcentral. Lineage: Eukaryota; Metazoa; Chordata; Aves; Pelecaniformes; Pelecanidae.
AUAAUAUGAGCAGGUGGUUUUCCCAGGGCGAGGCUCAUCCCCUGCACUCCGGCUGUGCUGGCCCCUGCGAUUUCCCCAAAUGUGGGAAACUCGACUGCAUAAUUUGUGGUAGUGGGGGACUGCGUUCGCCUU